AUGCACGCUGGCGGCGUGCCUAAUCCAUGCAAGUCGAGCGAACAGAUGAGGAGCUUGCUCCUCUGACGUUAGCGGCGGACGGGUGAGUAACACGUGGAUAACCUACCUAUAAGACUGGGAUAACUUCGGGAAACCGGAACUAAUACCGGAUAAUAUAUUGAACCGCAUGGUUCAAUAGUGAAAGACGGUUUUGCUGUCACUUAUAGAUGGAUCCGCGCCGCAUUAGCUAGUUGGUAAGGUAACGGCUUACCAAGGCAACGAUGCGUAGCCGACCUGAGAGGGUGAUCGGCCACACUGGAACUGAGACACGGUCCAGACUCCUACGGGAGGCAGCAGUAGGGAAUCUUCCGCAAUGGGCGAAAGCCUGACGGAGCAACGCCGCGUGAGUGAUGAAGGUCUUCGGAUCGUAAAACUCUGUUAUUAGGGAAGAACAAAUGUGUAAGUAACUAUGCACGUCUUGACGGUACCUAAUCAGAAAGCCACGGCUAACUACGUG
Molecule: ribosomal RNA, 496 nt
Filed under: uncultured bacterium
Lineage: Bacteria
Description: partial 16S ribosomal RNA
Rfam family: Bacterial small subunit ribosomal RNA
Source: RNAcentral